AUGCAGAUGGUCUCCCGCGGUCGCACUACCGUGAACAUCAGUGGGGAGAUUGGCCCUUACUCCCGCACCCUUUGUGGGGUUAGACAAGGCGAUCCUUUCUCCCCAUUCUUGUUCAAUAUGGUGGUGGACGCACUUGCCACCAUCCUGGACAAGGCCAAGGCUGCGGGCCAUAUUCGUGGGAUCACUCCUCAUCUGGCCGAUGGCUUUGGGAUCUCCAUGCUGCUCCAGUACGCCGACGACACCAUCAUCAUGGUCGAAGGCUCGGACGCGGACAUCACUAACCUUAAGUUCCUCCUCCUCUGCUUCCAACAAAUGUCUGGCCUCAAGAUCAACUUCGACAAUGGUGAUGUGAUGGUAAUGGACUACUCUCCGACGGAGGCCCUCGACAUUGCCAACCGCCUCAACUGCCUCCUAGGCUCCUUCCCCACGACUUACUUGGGAACGCCCAUUAGUGACUCUCGGCUUACCAUUGCGGACUUGCGUCCAAUGGUGGCCAAGCUGCAAACGCGCAUUGAGCCAUGGCAGGGUAGGUGGCUGUGGAAGGUGGUUCGGGCGAUUCUCAUCAACUCCUCCCUCUCCAGCCUCCUCUUGUUCCUCAUGAGCUUAUAUAGCCUUCAUGAGACCCUUCACCAUGAGAUCGCCAAAGUCCAAUCUCGCUUCUAUUGGGCUGGCGAUAGCAAUAAGUAG
This 687-nucleotide ribosomal RNA is filed under the name Triticum aestivum (bread wheat). Its description in RNAcentral is "partial small subunit ribosomal RNA". The record is from RNAcentral. Lineage: Eukaryota; Viridiplantae; Streptophyta; Magnoliopsida; Poales; Poaceae.